GACUUAUUGAUUUAUAGGGUUAUUAUUAAAUGUGUAUAUUUUAUUUUAGAAAAAAAAGUUAAUUGAAUUUAUGUUCCUUUUGUAUAAGGGUAUUAGGAGAUAAGGUGUAAGCACAAUACUCCAAAUCUGAAGAUCUUUAUUUACUUUAAAUUUAAAAAUAAUUUUGAUAAGUUAGUAACGUAGCGAUAUACUUCCGAUUCAGAUAUAUGUAGAUGCACAAAACUCCGGUAAGUUGAGAGCAUGCUUUUUCAAAUUCAGUAUUCUAUUUAAUAAUUGUAAUAUUAUAUUGUUAUAAUAUUUUUAUAGGUUCUAUAAUAUUGAUACAUUAAAGGCUUAUACUAAUUUUAAAUGAUCUAAUUAGUAUCUAUCUAAUAAUAAGUAAUAUUUGUAUAUAUGUUUUAUUUGCGUAUAUCUAUACUUUUAGUUUGGAGUACUUACAAAUGUUUAUUAAAAACAUUUCUACUAUGGRUUAGUAGUAAGCCCUGCCCAGUGUAAUACUAUAAACGGCCGCAGUAUUUUGACUGUGCUAAGGUAGCAUAAUCAUUAGGUUAUUAAUUGUGAUCUGGUAUGAAUGGGUUAAUGUUAGGUACUAUGUGAUGUGUAGAUUCUUGAACUUUCUUUAUAGUGAAAAUGCUAUAGUUUGGUGUUAAGACGGAAAGACCCUUGAAAUUUUAUAAAAUUUUAUUUAAUUGGGGAAAUUAAUGAAUAUAUAGUAUCAUUUGUGUAAUUACUCAAGGGAUAACAGGGUAAUCUAAUUUAAUUUAGGAUUACUACCUCGAUGUUGGAUCAUCCUAUAUGGAGUCUGUUCGRUUUUAUAUUUAGGGUACGUGAUCUGAGUUUAGAUCGGCGUGAGCCCAGAUCGGUUCUUAUCUAUACUAUAACCUUUAUAGUACGAAAGGAUGUUUUGGUUAUAAUUAUUAUAUUUA
Molecule: ribosomal RNA, 926 nt
Filed under: Leptorhynchoides thecatus
Lineage: Eukaryota; Metazoa; Acanthocephala; Palaeacanthocephala; Echinorhynchida; Rhadinorhynchidae
Description: 16S ribosomal RNA
Rfam family: Bacterial large subunit ribosomal RNA (bases 648-873)
Source: RNAcentral